UGGGGAAUAUUGGGCAAUGGGCGAAAGCCUGACCCAGCAACGCCGCGUGAAGGAAGAAGGUCUUCGGAUUGUAAACUUCUUUUAUGAGGGACGAAGGACGUGACGGUACCUCAUGAAUAAGCCACGGCUAACUACGUGCCAGCAGCCGCGGUAAUACGUAGGUGGCAAGCGUUAUCCGGAUUUACUGGGUGUAAAGGGCGAGUAGGCGGUCUUGCAAGUCAGAUGUGAAAUACCGGAGCUCAACUCCGGGGCUGCAUUUGAAACUGUAGGACUUGAGUGAUGGAGAGGCAGGCGGAAUUCCCGGUGUAGCGGUGGAAUGCGUAGAUAUCGGGAGGAACACCAGUGGCGAAGGCGGCCUGCUGGACAUUAACUGACGCUGAGGAGCGAAAGCGUGGGGAGCAAACAGGAUUAGAUACCCUGGUAGU
RNAcentral lists this ribosomal RNA (425 nucleotides) under uncultured Oscillospiraceae bacterium. Its description in RNAcentral is "bacterial SSU rRNA". It matches the Rfam family "Bacterial small subunit ribosomal RNA", at positions 355 to 794 of the family's 1533-position model. The record is from RNAcentral. Lineage: Bacteria; Bacillati; Bacillota; Clostridia; Eubacteriales; Oscillospiraceae.